Molecule: ribosomal RNA, 253 nt
Filed under: uncultured bacterium
Lineage: Bacteria
Description: partial 16S ribosomal RNA
Rfam family: Bacterial small subunit ribosomal RNA
Source: RNAcentral
UACGUAGGUGGCAAGCGUUGUCCGGAUUUACUGGGUGUAAAGGGCGUGCAGCCGGAGAGACAAGUCAGAUGUGAAAUCCACGGGCUCAACUCGUGAACUGCAUUUGAAACUGUUUCCCUUGAGUGUCGGAGAGGUAAUCGGAAUUCCUUGUGUAGCGGUGAAAUGCGUGGAUAUAAGGAAGAACACCAGUGGCGAAGGCGGAUUACUGGACGAUAACUGACGGUGAGGCGCGAAAGCGUGGGGAGCAAACAGG